Molecule: ribosomal RNA, 458 nt
Filed under: uncultured bacterium
Lineage: Bacteria
Description: bacterial SSU rRNA
Rfam family: Bacterial small subunit ribosomal RNA
Source: RNAcentral
AACGAACGCUGGCGGCAUGCCUAACACAUGCAAGUCGAACGAGACCUUCGGGUCUAGUGGCGCACGGGUGCGUAACGCGUGGGAAUCUGCCCUUGGGUUCGGAAUAACUCAGAGAAAUUUGAGCUAAUACCGGAUGAUGACGAAAGUCCAAAGAUUUAUCGCCCAGGGAUGAGCCCGCGUAAGAUUAGCUUGUUGGUAGGGUAAUGGCCUACCAAGGCGACGAUCUUUAGCUGGUCUGAGAGGAUGAUCAGCCACACUGGGACUGAGACACGGCCCAGACUCCUACGGGAGGCAGCAGUGGGGAAUUUUGGACAAUGGGCGCAAGCCUGAUCCAGCCAUGCCGCGUGCAGGAUGAAGGCCUUCGGGUUGUAAACUGCUUUUGUACGGAACGAAAAGACUCUUUCUAAUAAAGAGGGUCCAUGACGGUACCGUAAGAAUAAGCACCGGCUAACUACGUG